RNAcentral lists this long non-coding RNA (1487 nucleotides) under Vulpes vulpes (red fox). RNAcentral describes it as "lncRNA (ENSVVUG00000030280.1)". The record is from RNAcentral. Lineage: Eukaryota; Metazoa; Chordata; Mammalia; Carnivora; Canidae.
ACACUGGUUCUGUAUUGUUAGAAUUUUGACCAGUUAGAAUACCGGCUCCACCUCUCCCCACACCUAUUCACCCUGUGUGUGACAGUCUGUUAAUCCUUCCAAAAGCCACGCAGUUUAGGUUCCCCUGUGCUUGGAAAUACUUAAUGGCCUCCGUGGUGGCUCCAUAGAAAAAGCCCAAACAUUGAAAUUUUGCUGUAAGGUCCUUUAGGAUCGGGCCCUAAGUUCCUUAUUCAACUUUAUCUGUCUCUUUACAACCACUAGGAACCUUCGAUCUUGGUUACAUUCGUUGAUCCUUUGUAGCUCGCUGCAAGGAUCACAUUGUAAACCUCCAAGUCGGUGGAAAUCGUUAUUUUUAUAAUGUGAGACCACAGAGAACGAGGUUAAGGAUAAACACCAAUGGACGUGUAGAAGUAACAAACCUAUUUCAAGAUUUAAUGGCUGUUUCUAACUCCACACAUACCAGCACAAUCUUUCUGAGUAACUCCUUGGUCGCAAAAGAGGGAUGUGACCCAAUCCAUCUUACCUGGAAGCCAAAGUUCACACCGUGUAGGAACUUCUGUUUCAGAUGCACUCCAGACCCUCCACCACUGAGCCUAAUUCUGGAGAAGUCAUCAUGCUACUCAGGGUGCAUUUCCCUAGCUGAUGCUAUGAGGAUCUUCUCUGAGAGAUUCCACAGGCUUCCAGUAAGUUUUCUUUUCUUUCUUUCUUUUCAGUUUUCUUUUCUAAGUUUCUUUUCGGCAUGCUAUUUCUACACCCAUUUUACUGCAACCACAGGGGGUCUUUCUGCCUGUGGCCUUGCUGAUGACCCUGGGACACUUGGAGCCCCUCCCAGAUCUCUCGUUACUCUUUAGGUCAGCUUGCAAGGCUCCACGGCCACCUGCGAGGGCAACUGAUGGGACCCUGGUUCCCUGCUGCCGGCUCCCAUUCUCACCACUAGCUCUUUGCUCCUGUCAUUUCAUUGUCCUGCAAGAUUUCCCAGCCUCCACCUCCACCUUCAGCUGCUAACUCCCACUAAUCCUUCCAGCUCAAUUCCAUACCACCCCCCCCAAAACCUUUCAUAGGACCGCAUUUUGCUCUUGUCAGAGCACAGUCCACAUUUUAUUGUAAUUUCCUCUCUCCUUUUCAAUUUCUCUGUUCCUUGAGGACAAGGGCUACGUGGAGCGUAUUCACUGGUGUAGUCUCCGUGACCAGAGUUUUGGUUUCAUGGAGGAGCCCCAAAAGAUGGCAUAGCCUGCCAAAUGCAUUGAUGUAUACAGGGCCCUAGAACAUCACCUUGGGGAAGGACGUCUUGGUGAAGAGUCAGUAGGCCUGAGUAGCAAGGAUGUAAUGAAAUCCCCAUAUACCUGCCCGCAAAGUGGAUAUCGGAUUUUCACUCAUAUUCUCUUCUGAAUUUGAAGCUUGGGAGCCACAUAGCAUUUUUCUUAGCUUCAGGAUUAUUGCAGGUGCUCAGGGAGAUAGUGUCUGGGGCCUGAAGAUGAGAGACUGGA